RNAcentral lists this ribosomal RNA (250 nucleotides) under uncultured bacterium. RNAcentral describes it as "partial 16S ribosomal RNA". It matches the Rfam family "Bacterial small subunit ribosomal RNA", at positions 524 to 773 of the family's 1533-position model. The record is from RNAcentral.
UACGUAGGUGGCAAGCGUUGUCCGGAUUUAUUGGGCGUAAAGAGAAUGUAGGCGGUUUAUUAAGUCUGAAGUGAAAGCCCUCGGCUCAACCGAGGAAGUGCUUCGGAAACUAGUAAACUUGAGUGCAGAAGAGGAAAGUGGAACUCCAUGUGUAGCGGUGGAAUGCGUAGAUAUAUGGAAGAACACCAGUGGCGAAGGCGGCUUUCUGGUCUGUAACUGACGCUGAGAUUCGAAAGCAUGGGUAGCAAAC